UGUUUCCUACGGGGGGCAGCAGUGGGGAAUAUUGCACAAUGGGGGAAACCCUGAUGCAGCAACGCCGCGUGAAGGAAGACGGUUUUCGGAUUGUAAACUUCUUUUCUUAGUGAAGAAGCAAGUGACGGUAGCUAAGGAAUAAGCAUCGGCUAGCUACGUGGCAGCAGCCGCGGUAAUACGUAGGAUGCGAGCGGUAUCCGGAAUUGCUGGGUGUAAAGGGAGCGCAGGCGGG
This 232-nucleotide ribosomal RNA is filed under the name uncultured bacterium. RNAcentral describes it as "partial 16S ribosomal RNA". It matches the Rfam family "Bacterial small subunit ribosomal RNA", at positions 333 to 579 of the family's 1533-position model. The record is from RNAcentral.